Molecule: transfer RNA, 91 nt
Filed under: Deferribacter desulfuricans SSM1
Lineage: Bacteria; Pseudomonadati; Deferribacterota; Deferribacteres; Deferribacterales; Deferribacteraceae
Description: tRNA-Ser (GGA) (tRNA-Ser-GGA-1-1)
Rfam family: tRNA
About the family: Transfer RNA (tRNA) molecules are approximately 80 nucleotides in length. Their secondary structure includes four short double-helical elements and three loops (D, anti-codon, and T loops).
Source: Rfam by way of RNAcentral
GGAGAGGUGUCCGAGCUGGCCGAAGGAGCACGAUUGGAAAUCGUGUGUACCGCCACAAGCGGUACCGAGGGUUCAAAUCCCUCCCUCUCCG